Molecule: transfer RNA, 68 nt
Filed under: Mystilus priamus
Lineage: Eukaryota; Metazoa; Arthropoda; Insecta; Hemiptera; Miridae
Description: tRNA-Phe
Source: RNAcentral
AUUUAGGUAGCUUAAUUUUAAAGCUUUAUAUUGAAGAUAUAAUUAUAGAAUAAUUGUUCUCCUAAAUA